Sorghum bicolor (sorghum) is the source of this 4206-nucleotide RNA transcript. It is a transcript of the gene named AT-hook motif nuclear-localized protein 17, with no coding region annotated. Lineage: Eukaryota; Viridiplantae; Streptophyta; Magnoliopsida; Poales; Poaceae. The transcript has 2 exons. The record is from RefSeq and is a predicted model, not a curated record.
CGUCGCCGGCCGGCACAUGCAUGGAGCAGCUGCGCGCGCGGCCGCCAUGGCCCAGCUCCCACCUACUAUAUCUUUGCCGUGCCGUCAAAGGAUGCGGCGGCGACCCGGCCGGCCGGUAGAUGAUCAGUCCGACUGUCGAUGGCUCAGCGCGCGUUAUACCAACAUAUAGACGCAUGGCGUAUGUGUACAGCAGUCGAUCACCACCCCUGUCUCGCCUCCGUCAAUAUUAGGGCAAAACCUGCAGGCAAGCAAGCCGUGAUCGUGAAGAAUUAAUUCGUGAUGAGAUGUCAAAAGAUUACGAGAUCAAAAGCAGCAGAGCCCAGUUGCAGCCCCAUAUUAUCAUUCGCCCCCCGGAUCCGGUGGCCAAUCCUGUCUGUCCCCUAUUCCCUUCCAUCUUCUCGCCGACCGGCUCAAAAGUCCAAAAGAAAUCCAGUCGAGCGUCCAGCUAGCUGCCGUGCCAUGCGCUGCGCGUGCCAUGGAAAGGCGCCGAUCCAGGACAGGACCCCCCAUCCUACUAUUACUACCACGUCGCAGCCACCAGCCGUGCCCUUGCACGCUAUAGCUCGUUGCUAGUAGAGUUUGCUACUGCUGAAGUGCUGAGCCUCUCGCCGUCUGACACAUCGCUAUCGUUUGCCGCGGCGGCAUGGACCGGGAGGGCCUUUACGGAGGCCGCGGCGACGGCAGCAGGCUCCUGGUGGUCCAAGACCUCCAUGAGCGGCCGAUGGAGUGCUUCUCCGAUGAGGUCAACAGCCGAAACGGCUGCGGCGACGACGAGGAGGAGGAGGAGGGGAAUGGCGGAACUGGUUCUGGUUCUGGUUCACGGCCGCUGCCGGCGCCCAACGGGGCAGGAGGAGGAGGAGGCGACGGACCGGUGAGCGUGGAGACCGGGAAGCGGAGGCGCGGGCGGCCGCCGGGAUCCAAGAACAAGCCGAAGCCGCCGCCGGUGGUGACGCGGGACGUGGAGCCCGCGGCGGCCAUGCGCCCGCACGUGCUCGAGAUCCCCAGCGGCGGGGACGUCGCGCGCGCGCUCGCGGGCUUCGCGCGCCGCCGGGGUCUCGGGAUCUGCGUGCUCGCGGGGACCGGCGCCGUCGCCGACGUCUCGCUCCGUCACCCGGCGGCGUCGUCGUCCGCGGAUGGAGGAGGAGGGGGUGCUGCCGCUGCCGCCGCCGCGGUCGUCGUCUUCCGCGGCCGGUACGAGAUCCUCUCCAUCUCGGCCACGUUCCUGGCGCCGUCCAUGUCCGCGGCGGUGCCGGCCCGCUCCGCCGUCAGCAGGGACCUCUCGAUAUCGCUCGCCGGCCCGCACGGACAGAUCGUCGGGGGCGCUGUCGUGGGCCCUCUCGUCGCCGCCACCACCGUCGUUGUCCUGGCUGCCGCCUUCACCGACCUUAACUUCCACCGCCUCCCCCUCGAGGAUGACGCGUCAGCAGCGUCCGUCUCCGGGAGUGGGGAGGCCGGCGAACACCGUCACCGUGGGCAUCACGGGCAGCAUCAGCAACGGGAGCAUCACGACGCGAGCGGGUUGCACCCGCAGACCAUGGUGGCUCCGGCGACGACUCAGCCGGUUCCCUUGUACGCGCGCCAGUCACAGGAGUUGUGGCCGCCGGCGGCGGCAAGUGCACAGCGCCCACGCCCGCCGUAUCAAUAGCCUCCAGUCACAAGAGUCUGCUAUGGUGCUCGAUCCAUCGUAACUAUACACAUCUGAUUAUAUUAUUUUGUUGUGUCUAAUUUCUAUACGAGAGAUUUGAUGAUCUGGUUAGUGUUAGGGUUUUUAUUAGUGUGUAUCUUAUACAUUGAUGAUCUAGCUAGUUGUUACUGCUACUUUUAAUAAUUUGUUAGGGUUCAACGUUUCUGUUUACCUAAUGAGUUGACAUAUUUUGAUGCCAAUGGCGGUGUCAAGAGUCAAGACAUGCAAAUGACGGUGUGAUUUAUUUCUUAAGAGCAAGGUCAAUAAUAAAGCUAAGUGCUUGACUAUAAGUAUGUGAUUAGAGCCAAGUUAUACAGUAAGAAGACAUUUUCACCUUCCUAUUCCUUCUCAUGACAUUUGCUAUUCAGGUCUACCACUACCUGUGCAUCCAUGUCUAGCUUGGUGCUUGCAUAAGAGAUUAGUGCUCCCAUCUUCAUCAGGAAACUUAUCACCUUCUUCGGCAACAACGACAUUACCAGUUAACGGUAUGUAGCAGGUAUAGGGCAUAUAGAGCUGGGUUUUUCUAGGUUUAUUUGUUUGCGGAUCGGAGUUUAUUUUUGUACUCAUAUCCAUCUCAAAUUCUCCAUCCACAUAUAUUAAAAUAGAUUGAGGUAGAAGUUAAUCUAAGUUUCACCUAAUCUACCUUAACAUACACCUGGAUUAAAAGCUGGAUGUAAAUGUAUGAACUAAGCUUAGAUGGUAAAGGGGUAGAUGGCAUCUUGGACAUGAGGCAAGGUGGUAGGGUGCCACCUUCAUUAGAGCGUGGUCAUAGUUUGUAGCGGCUUUGAUUGCAUGUACUGUAUUAGGCUUAGUCUGCAUUAGACUUUAUGCAGCAAAACCUAAGUCAACAUGCAUAAAUGUAUUUUGUAUAGGCAAGCCACACCUGAUAAGAGAGAGAGUUUUUUUUAAUCAAACUUUUUUUUUAUGUUUCACUGGAUUUGUAGACAAUAAUCAAAAAAUCGAUUUAUUUAUAUAUGGACGGAUACGAAGUAUUAGAGGUUUUAUGUUAACAUUUUUUAUGUUUGAUCAAACUUAUAGACAAUAUUCUAGAUGUUUUAUGUUUCUAGUAAAGGUAUAGAAAACAAUAAUAUUUUAUUUUUUUUGUGUUCGUCAACUUGUGCACAUAUGCAUUGUCUAAUACGGAAUGGGGCUGAAUUGUGGAGAACUUUUUUUUUCACAAGGUGGAUAACUUAAAAAAGUUGUGAAGUUAUACGUAUGAGCCGUCCGAUGAAAUUAAAUAAUUGAAUGUGUAUAAAUUUGGUAGAUCUUUGGAUCCAAAAUCUAUCAACAGACGUCUAAGGUGUCGUUUGUUUCCUUAGGGAUCUCUAGGAAUCUGGAUAAAAAAAAUUCUGAUAUCUUUUAUUGGUCUUUCCGCCUGUACGUUAAAAUUAUUUAGAAUCUGGACUGUUUGGAUAACAUAAUGAAAUUCUUUAGAAUGUAGACUGUUUUGAUAACAUAUUGUUUUUUAGAUUUGUUUAUCUGGAUUCCCAGAAUUUCGUGGGAGUCAAACGGGGCCUAACAUGACCCUUUACUUAAUCCUAUUUUCUGAAAGUCGUCGUAGCAUCUAUGACUAUGCAGAUAGGUGAUUAGGUUUCUAGUAGUAGUGUGAUGAAGUAUAAGGCCAGUCUCAACGAGUUGUUUCAAUACACAGUUAUCAAAAUGCCACAUCAGUCAAAACACAGUGAAACAACAAACGAAAUUGAUUCUUACAAUGGUGAGUUUCAUUGCAGCGUUUCACAUGCACAUUAUAGCAUUAAAUACUAGUAUUUAGCUGUGAUCAAAUGUACUAGCAUAAACUCUGUAGCUAUUGUGUGUCCAGAUCAAAUAUAAAAUACUCCGAUCAUAGAAAACACCCUGCUAGAUAAACUCAUGUACUGAAAUAUUGCAAAUUGACUGAAAAAUUGACUCAUACAGCAGAAUCGGCGGAUCCAUGGAAACGCUUGCCCAGCUGCUUGCCCCCACGAACGUUCCCUCCUCUGCCUUGCGCAUCCAUGGACAGGACGGGGCUGGAGACUCGGCGGAGGCAGCUGCUGCUACCCGCGCGUGGCGCCCCGGCCGUCGCGUUCGCGUACCGCUCCUCCUCGACAGCGGCGACCGCGCUCCACGGGGCCGCGGCGCCCGCGCCCGCGCCCGCCUCCGACCUACGUGCCCGCCUCCGACCUGCGCGCCCACCUCUGCCUCCGGCUCCGACCUGCUGAUGUUGGCGGGAGUAAAGAAUUGGGGAGAAGGAAGCGGGAGGAAGGGGCGGGAAGAAGGCCGGGAGGAGCGCGCGCGCAAAUGGAGAGCUCACGGUGCUGGCGGUUCCCUCUGCGUUCGGGAUCAAGAAUGAAACGAAAACUCCCCUCGAUGGCCGUUUCACCGCGUUAUCGAGGCCUGGGAAACGACGCUGAGUCAUUUCACCAUGGUGAAACGAUUUUCAUCUCUCUCCUCUCUAUUUCAUGCAAAGAUUCCCUUUUGGCUGAUGUGUCACCUCAUUAAAUGUGCAUGACACUCAACUAAAACUCCCAUUGAGAAUGGCCUAA